This 253-nucleotide ribosomal RNA is filed under the name uncultured bacterium. RNAcentral describes it as "partial 16S ribosomal RNA". It matches the Rfam family "Bacterial small subunit ribosomal RNA", at positions 524 to 776 of the family's 1533-position model. RNAcentral also lists the same sequence under 1 other name. The record is from RNAcentral.
UACGUAGGUGGCAAGCGUUGUCCGGAUUUAUUGGGUUUAAAGGGUGCGUAGGCGGUUUUCUAAGUCAGCAGUGAAAUACGGCAGCUCAACUGUCGAGGUGCUGUUGAUACUGGGGAACUUGAGUACUGAUGAGGUAGGCGGAAUGGACGGUGUAGCGGUGAAAUGCUUAGAGAUCGUCCAGAACACCGAUAGCGAAGGCAGCUUACUAAGGAGUAACUGACGCUGAGGCACGAAAGUGUGGGGAUCAAACAGG